Molecule: long non-coding RNA, 1637 nt
Organism: Macaca fascicularis (crab-eating macaque)
Lineage: Eukaryota; Metazoa; Chordata; Mammalia; Primates; Cercopithecidae
Source: Ensembl
CAGAGCUGGGACCUGGCCCUGGGUCUCCUGAAUCCACGGACUCUGUGAAGUGCAAAGGAACCUGGUGCCAGCCGCAGUCAACCCCGAUGUGAUGAUCUUUCUGCCCACCCUCUUUGAUGUCUUGGAGCUGGCCGCUGUCUUUGGCCAGACCUGCAAGUCCGGUCCUUGGGGGUGUAGGAGGAAAGAAGCCCCUGGCUGUGAGUCCUCGAGAUGGACCCUGGCCCUCUCUGGUUCUGAGUUCCUGGGAAAGUCGGUGGUGUUGGAACUCCGGAUUCAUUCCUCAGCGUUGAGGCACUGUCUGUGGAAGCCGUGGGACAAGGUGAAGGUGGGGAGAGGAGAGGCUUGGAGUUUGGGUUUCAGCAGAGGGAUCAGCAGCGUGAGGGGUCGCCUGUGUGUAGAGGAAAGGGAGUGAAGGCCAGGAGUGAGGAAUGAGUCUGAGUGCACCCAGGAUGGUGCUGCAUCUCCUCCCACAUCCACCUGGCCCCAGGGAAGGGAGAAGAAAGGCCACGAGACAAAGGGGAAACUGAGUUGGGUCCAUACAUGUCCUUCCAGGACCUGGAGGUGCCACUGUCUGGCCCUCAGGCAGUGGGAAGUGGGGGAAGGGAGAUUCCCUCCCCAUACCUCGUGUUCUCUGUCCCAGGUCUCCUGGCCCCCUGUGCACCUAAGUUCAGUCUCUGUCGGCCCCCAGCAUCAUUUCUAGGGUUGGUGGGAGGCAGCUGGGAACAGUUUAGGGGUAGGUGGGGCCUGUUUGGAGGAGUCUGCUUGACUGCUUGGGCCACUGCCCACAGUAGUGGGGAGCUUUUCUGGCACACUGACUGCACCACCCAGGCGCUGCCAGUAACAGCCCCCAGGGAGUGUUUGCAGAAGGCCUUGGUGGGCGGUGGGGGUGGACCCCACCCAGAACAAACACCUGGGCUGGCGUCAGGGAGAACAGCCCUCCACUUACCUGUCUGGAGGGUCCUCUGUACCACACUGUGCGUGUCUAAGCUCCGAGGCUGAACACACUGAGGGAGGCCCUCCACUUUAGCACCUUGACAAGAAGGGCAGGGACACCGGGAUCAGGCCCAGCCCCCUGGCCCCAAACCUGCAACCCCAGCUGGAGGGUGAGGAGGUGCUGGUCUUGGGUUGGGGAAUCAGGGGUGUAAAGGGGCCUGCUCACCCCUCAGCUUGGCUCAAAGUCUCAAGGUGUCAAAGGCUCAGCCUGCCCCUCAGAAAGGAGCCCGGACCCAGCCAGAUACUCACCAGGACAAGGGUGAAUGUGACGAGCAGGAGGCCUAGAAUGAAGAGAGCCAUGGCAUAGCCGGGGAUGGAGGUGUCCAGCGGGCUGGGGGCUUUGGGGCUAGGAGUGCCUAGAGCAGAGCAAGAAGGCUAUGGCCAGGUGGGUCCCUGCCUCCCAGACUUCUGAGAUAGCAUAAUCUGGGCCCAGAAGGUGCUGUGGGACCUGUUAUAUGUCAUGGACCUACCUCAAAAAUACUAGCUAAGUAAAAAAGCCAGACACGAGACCACAUAUUGUAUAAUUCCAUUGAUUUGAAAUGUCCAAAAAAGGCAAACUGAUAGAGACAGAAGUGGGCUGAUUUACCUCAAGAGGCAGCGACUCAAGCUCUCUAGAUGACAGGUGAUACAUCCAUGAGAAAAAA